Long non-coding RNA from Panicum virgatum (switchgrass), 646 nucleotides. RefSeq lists it as uncharacterized. Lineage: Eukaryota; Viridiplantae; Streptophyta; Magnoliopsida; Poales; Poaceae. The transcript has 2 exons. The record is from RefSeq and is a predicted model, not a curated record.
GAAAAAUGCGUGCAAUUAAAUCAUAUCCUCCUAGCUAAUACUUUGCAUCUUUCAUGUGCUUCGGGUGCAACAUAAGGGGAUCGGAAUACUGGUCUCGGAAACGACCCGGGAAACUGCAGUGGUUUACUCGGUCAAAAACCUAACCGAGGUGAAGGAAUUUCUAGAGAUGUUGAUCCAAGAGGCUGAGUCAAGAGGCAAAGCAGUUUCUCCAUCUACCAAUGCAAAGAAAGAAGCUUCUUCUCCCUCUAAAAACUCUUCAAUGAUGACACGUGAUCCAGCAGAACCAAAAGAAGCCUCAUCUGAAGUCAUAGCAACUACUAAACCCUUCCCAGCAGACAAUAUCCAUCAGCUUUAACAACUAUAGGGGCUUGAUCCUUUACGUAUUGUUUAGCAUCCGCAGGGUUGGUGAAUGUCUGAUAGACUGAUACUGCACAUGCAGAACACAAGUACUCAGUUUGAAUUGUAACACGCUUCACAGAAGGAAGUAGCCAACGGGUCCACUGAACCCUAGCCACGAUUACGAAGUUUACUCUGAUGGAAGAGUAAAGACCAUCAGGUGUCCGAGAAACGGGCCCACAACCAAUCUUAGAAUAUUGGUUAUUGGGUCAUCUGCUAAAUGAAGGCCAAUCAAGCAUGUUCCUGGCAA